RNAcentral lists this ribosomal RNA (429 nucleotides) under bacterium. Its description in RNAcentral is "partial 16S ribosomal RNA". It matches the Rfam family "Bacterial small subunit ribosomal RNA", at positions 355 to 776 of the family's 1533-position model. The record is from RNAcentral.
UAGGGAAUCUUCGGCAAUGGGGGCAACCCUGACCGAGCAACGCCGCGUGAGUGAAGAAGGUUUUCGGAUCGUAAAGCUCUGUUGUAAGAGAAGAACGUGUGUGAGAGUGGAAAGUUCACACAGUGACGGUAACUUACCAGAAAGGGACGGCUAACUACGUGCCAGCAGCCGCGGUAAUACGUAGGUCCCGAGCGUUGUCCGGAUUUAUUGGGCGUAAAGCGAGCGCAGGCGGUUUAAUAAGUCUGAAGUUAAAGGCAGUGGCUUAACCAUUGUUCGCUUUGGAAACUGUUAAACUUGAGUGCAGAAGGGGAGAGUGGAAUUCCAUGUGUAGCGGUGAAAUGCGUAGAUAUAUGGAGGAACACCGGUGGCGAAAGCGGCUCUCUUGUCUGUAACUGACGCUGAGGCUCGAAAGCGUGGCGAGCAAACAGG